Molecule: ribosomal RNA, 406 nt
Filed under: uncultured bacterium
Lineage: Bacteria
Description: partial 16S ribosomal RNA
Rfam family: Bacterial small subunit ribosomal RNA
Source: RNAcentral
AGUGAACGCUGGCGGAAGGCCUAACACAUGCAAGUCGAACGAGUGGCGGACGGGUGAGGAAUACAUCGGAAUCUGCUCGGUCGUGGGGGAUAACGUAGGGAAACGUACGCUAAUACCGCAUACGAUUGAAUGAGCCGAUGUCGGAUUAGCUAGUUGGCGGGGUAAAGGCCCACCAAGGCGACGAUCCGUAGCUGGUCUGAGAGGAUGAACAGCCACACUGGAAUGGAGACACGGUCCAGACUCCUACGGGAGGCAGCAGUGGGGAAUAUUGGACAAGGGGCGCAAGCCUGAUGCAGCCAUACCGCGUUGGUGAAGAAGGCCUUCGGGUUGUAAAGCCCUUUUGUUGGGAAAGCGGUACCCAAAGAAUAAGCACCGGCUAACUUCGUGCCAGCAGCCGCGGUAAUAC